CCUAACCAUGCAAGUCGAACGAACCCUUCGGGGUUAGUGGCGCACGGGUGCGUAACGCGUGGGAACCUGCCUUUAGGUUCGGAAUAACUCAGAGAAAUUUGAGCUAAUACCGGAUGAUGUCUUCGGACCAAAGAUUUAUCGCCUUUAGAUGGGCCCGCGUUAGAUUAGAUAGUUGGUGGGGUAAUGGCCUACCAAGUCGACGAUCUAUAGCUGGUCUGAGAGGAUGAUCAGCCACACUGGGACUGAGACACGGCCCAGACUCCUACGGGAGGCAGCAGUGGGGAAUAUUGGACAAUGGGCGAAAGCCUGAUCCAGCAAUGCCGCGUGAGUGAUGAAGGCCUUAGGGGUUGUAAAGCUCUUUUACCAGGGAUGAUAAUGACAGUCCUGGAGAAUAAGCUCCGGCUAACUCCGUGCCAGCAGCCGCGGUAAU
RNAcentral lists this ribosomal RNA (430 nucleotides) under marine bacterium SIMO-IS151. RNAcentral describes it as "bacterial SSU rRNA". It matches the Rfam family "Bacterial small subunit ribosomal RNA", at positions 47 to 524 of the family's 1533-position model. Lineage: Bacteria; Pseudomonadati; Pseudomonadota; Alphaproteobacteria. The record is from RNAcentral.